UGUCUAGCCAAGUAGAACCUGUGGAGAGAAGGGACAUAACAAUUUCAGGCUCCUUCCCUUCCAUGCUUACUCAGAUGCCAAGUGCCAACAACACUCCCUCCUCAGGCCACCUUGCCACUCCCUAUAUUCCUGUCAGACCUCACUGACUGCAACCACAUAUGGUCCCACACUCAUCUCUCAGGUUCUUUUCCCUAAAAUGUGAUGUACACAGUCCUUACCUGCUCACUUUUUUUUGGCUCCUGUGUAAGGGACUUUAAAAAAAAUGAGGUAGCUGAUAAGAUCUGAAAUGGUCAGCUUGAGGAUUGGGUACAAUUGCUUGGUUGCUGGUUCUGUUUUCACCCUAGGAAGGGCCACCUUCCACGCUGUUUCUAAGAAAGCAAUGUCCAGCAAUGUUGACCUAACUACACUGACCCCCCAUCACAUACCCUUGUAAUUACCACACUGUAAUCAAUCUAAGAUAUGUAUAUCCUUUUAAGCCAAUCGCCGCCUUAUGAGCUUGUGUUACAGGAAGUCUUGCCUUAUGUAUGAGUUCCUGCCACAGGAAGUACUGCCUUAAGAGUUCCCGCCACAGGAAGUCCCACCUUAUAAUGAUCUACUACCAAUCAAGUAAUAUCUUUCAGUGAUCUAUGUUUGUAAAUACAAAUCAAGUACUGUACUUCAUGUCCUUUGUUUUCUUCUUAUAAAACAUCACGGCUGAGUUGCCAUAUUGGAUUACUGAAUUCCAGUGCACUGAGUUCAGUCUAUCUCCAGCUUGAGCUGUCUCUUUAUUUUCAAUAAAUCUCUCAAUUUUACAUUAAUCAGAGUACAGAUAGUUACUCUAUGACUAAUGGCAUAGUCAGCAGGAUUUCUGAAGAAAUAUUAUCUUCUACAUUCCUGAGAAGUCAUGGAACUGCCCUGUCCUAGUACCAGCAAGGGACUCUUGUGCCCACAGCCAUCUCCUCAAAUUCUCUGGGUUCGCUGGAGGUAAGCUGCUCAGAUUGAAGCCUUGCUCUUAUUGUGAAGAUGGCUCUUUGAGAGAUUUAUUGGCUAUCUUUUCUCUAUACUUUCAUUUUCUACUCAUUUCCUGAGCAUCUUACCAAAUUAGUAAACCAUCUUGUGGUCAGUCUAUUUUACUGAACUCCCUUUUCUUUCUGGUACACCAUAAGGUUUUCGUGCACAUUUAGGUCUUUAAUACUUGCAAGUUUCUCCAUAAAAUGUGGAGUGAUACGUCCAAGACUGAAGCAGGAUCCCCUAAGGAAAUGUUUGCCAAUUAUAUGACUAAGUAUUAUGGCCACGGUUCAGUCUUAUAUUUAGGCCAAUGGCAUGUGCUUAUGAAGGGAAAUUUAAAGGACCAAUAACCAUUGUGGGGGUCGUUUGAGUUAACUAAGUUGAACUGUCUGUGCAGCAAAUUAGAGGCUAAGGGCUUACGAAUAAAACUAAAGCAAUGAGAAGCAUUUUGUAAUUGGCACAUGGAAGCUUCCAAAAGAAAUCAUAAAGUCAUCUCCUUGUAGAAGACUGUUUCAAAACAAGCUAAACAAAUUGAAGAAUUACAGUGUCAGAGCUCUGUAACCUCGAUUACUACUUACCCAGCAGCAGCCCUUAUACCCCUUUCCCAAAAUGAUUCCUUUUCCCAAAAUAGCUCCCUUUCCCAAAAUGGCUCCUUUCUCAAGGUGGCUCCCUUUCCCAAAAUGGUGAAGUCCCUGGUGUCUGUAGUCCAACCCCAGCCUCUGAUGCCUGCCUACCCUCCUUUCCCUCUGCCCCUCCAUCAGUAACUCCCCUGUUGCCCUCUUUACCUACCUACUCCACUGAAAAGCCCCUUACGGAACCUCUAUAUUAUCUCAAGGAACCUCUAGAAGAAGUAAAAUGAAUUUGUGAAAUGCCUUUUAAAAUUAAUAUCUUGAGGCUCAGAAGCCACCACAAGUUACUUUUGCCUCCUGGUCAAAAGCAGAACUUCAUGCUGUUGUUAGGGAAUUUCCUAACCCUUGUGAAGAUCCUCACACAUUCACUCGAUAAUUUAGACUCUUGGCUGAUACCUACGAACCUGGUCUGGCAAACUUAUAUAAUUCAAUACAUUCACUGAUAUGGCCAGGAAACACUCAAAGGUGGAUGGAAAAGGCCUGAUAGAAAACUCCAACAUUAUCCCUAACAAUCUAGCCUGUUUCUGGCAUGGAACUAAUAGCACAGACCAAAAGUAUUGUCACAGACCUUACUGAAGCUAUCCCAAAGAUUCCCCUCUGCCAAAAAAAUAUAUAUAAGACCAAGAUUCAGGGUUACAAACAAAAUGAAAAUGAAAAUGUUAGUAAUUAUAGGGAGUGUUUGACUAAACUUUUCCGAGAACACUGUAGUUUAAAGCUAGAAAGAGUCUGGAUCCUGUAUUGUUUUCAGUUCCCUUUUUGUCAAUGGUCUCCAUCUGGAGCUUGCUGAGUUAGUCAGACAUUACAAACUAGAUUGGGAAAAUGAAAACACUUCACAGUUAGCCACUCUUAAACAACAAGCUAGGGAAGAACUAAAGCUAAACAAAAUCAACUUACUGCCCUGCAAUUACAGCAGUUGCAGACCCAGCCUCAAAGUAAUUGCCCCACACAGAACAGGUUCACCCGACUUAUGGCCAAGAUUGGGCCCAAUAACUUGUCCCUUGUUUAUUAUGACUAUAAAAAGCCUGUAUUUUGAAAACGAUUGUUUAAAACUAAAAAAUAAACUGGGCAACCUAACACCAGAUGUAGCCCAGAAGCAGAUAGAAUGAAGGGGCUCCAGGGACAAAUCUGUGGUUUUUCCUAUGGUAGCACUAAACUCUCAGGGAGAAACUACUAUUCAAAUAAAUAGAGAACCAUGUAAAUUUUAAUUGACACAGGUGUUACCUUAACUGCAAUAAACCCUACAAAUUUACAAAAGCCCUUGCUGUGGAGUAAUAAAACCUAAAGAGUCAGGGGGAUCACUAAUAAAGAACAGAUUUUAACUCAUUCCCAGCCUUUUUCUGUCUCUUUAAGUUCUAUAGAGGAUAUGCACCCAUUUUUACUCAGCUUAGAUAACUCCAGUAAAUACUAGGAAGAGAUCUGUUAUCCAAAUAGAAUUGUGAAAUAAAAUUCUCAGAACAGGAAUCUGAAGCCAAUCAACAAAUAGACUCUAUGAUAGAAAAUACUAUAAGUGAAUAAGCCUGUUCCUAUUUGCAAGCACUCAGCUUACCACCACAAGAAGGUCAUUCCCCUGUUUUAUCCAAUUCUAUGGAAUGUCUGUCUUCUGUACUCGGAAGUUUAUGGGCCAUUACUUCUACUGAUGUUGGUCAGGUCCCAUCAGUGGAACCAAUUAAAAUUCAAAUAGAUACCUCUAAACCCUUACCUAAAAUUUCUCAAUACCCUUUAAAAUGAGAAGCUAAGGAAAGACUUGUUCCUAUAAUUCAAGAUUUUUUGAAUAAAGUCUUAAUAAUCCCUUGCACCACUCCAGUAUUCCCUGUUAAGAAACCCAACAUUUGAGGCUGGAGAUUUGUACAAGACUUCUGUGCUAUUAAUUGUAUAGUAAUUCCAAGAUUCCCCGUAGUUUCUAACCCUCACCUACUCCUCUCUAAUGUCCCCCCUGAAGUGACUCACUUUACAGUAGUCAAUCUUUGCAGUGGUUUUUUGUUUUUGUUUUUUUUUUGCAUUCUAGUCCAUCUGGACAGUCAAUAAUUGUUUGCCUUCACUUGAGGGGACCAACAAUUUACCUGGACUGUCAUGUCCCAAGGUUUUACCAAGUCCCCCACCUAUUUUUCUCAGAUAUUACAUGCUGAUUUACAGACUUUACAGUUCAUUCAGGGGCCUACAUUAUUACAACAUGUGGAUGAUUUACUGGUCUGUUCUAACUCCCAACAGGCAUAUGUUAUGAUAGUAGCCUGCUGUUACAGCAUUUGGACAGAGGAAGUCACAAAGCCUCUAGAGAAAAAUUACAGUUAGCCCCACCUUUUGUUAAGUACUUGGGAUAUAUUAUUUCAGCAAAAUAGGUCACUAUAGACCCCAAAAGAGACCAUCUUAGCUUAUCCUGUCCCUACUGUCAAAAAACAGUUAAGAGGUUUCUAGGACUCUGAGGCUAUUGCAGAACUUGGAUACCUAUUUUUUCUUUGCUGGCUCAACCUCUUUACCAUUAUCUAAGGGAUUCAGAGCCUGACCUCUUCCAGCUCUCCAAGGAUGGCCAAAAGGACCUCCCUCAACUAAAAGAAGUAUUAAUUAACACUCCUGCUCUAGGGAUUCCUAAUUAUAAUUUAGACUUUUCACUUUUUGUCCACGAGAUUUCUUGGAAUGCUCUAGGAGUCCUCACUCAAAAACACAAAGGACAACGGAGACCCACUGGUUAUUAUAUCAUCCAGCUGGAUCCCAUCACAAGAUGCUACCCCCUUGCCUUAGAGCAUGCGCUGCGAACUCUAGUCGAGACAACAGCAGUCGACGCCCCUGGAAGUGACAGUCAAGAGAUCAAACGACAUGUUACAUUUGGACAAACAUGCUGCAAAAAAAAAAAAAAAAAAAAAAAA
Long non-coding RNA from Trichechus manatus latirostris (Florida manatee), 4477 nucleotides. RefSeq lists it as uncharacterized. NCBI's taxonomy places the organism in Eukaryota, Metazoa, Chordata, Mammalia, Sirenia, Trichechidae. The transcript is spliced from 2 exons. The record is from RefSeq and is a predicted model, not a curated record.